This is a long non-coding RNA of Acanthochromis polyacanthus (spiny chromis), 4350 nucleotides long. RefSeq lists it as uncharacterized. The record is from RefSeq and is a predicted model, not a curated record. The transcript is spliced from 3 exons. NCBI's taxonomy places the organism in Eukaryota, Metazoa, Chordata, Actinopteri, Pomacentridae.
GCCAGGAGAGCAGGGAGGAAAGUAUGCUGACUCAAGCGCUACACGGUAGUUGUGAGGAAAAUGAUUGAUCAGACAAGCUGUUGGGAUGUCAGAGGGAGAUUCAGCACCGACGAGGUCAGAACUCUUGUAAGAUCCAUGUAAAGCAGUCCACUUAAAAGCAGGGGAGUAAAAUCCUAUUCCAUUCUUCACUGCCUUUUUGUUUGUCUCUGUUACAGUCAUAUUAUUUUCUGUACUCCUUGGGUUGUUUAAAAGUCACUCAUUGUCAUAAUCAGCACUGUAUUUUUUCUGUGUUUAUUUAUGAUACCAGUAUGAACACAUUUUAUAAGUGUUUUUACUGAAAGAACUGUUUGGUCUGUUAUUAACUUGGAUUAAUAGUAUUUAUCUUCAAAAAUUUAUGUAACACAUUUGAGAACCCAUAUCCUAGACAAGCCCGAUGUGGUCCAUUUAAAAAUCUAAGCUGCUGUGUGUGAUUCAUUUCUUUAGAUUGUUAAUAUAUUGUACAGUGAAAUUAUAUGUUGAAUAAUAUAGUAAAAGCCUGAUAAUGUAACAUCUUAUUUCAAUUCCAGUGCUGUCUCCUGCAAUUUCUGCCCAGAAGUGAAUAAAAUAAUAAAAUAGUUGGUUGGAUAGUUCUCUGAGUGAACUCCAGUGCACUUGGAUUUUAGUUUAAUGCAUUAAUAGUGAAAAUAGUAAGCAGCAUAACUGAUCAUGUAAAAAAUCAUGAAUAGCAGCACAAGUUCAGGUUUUGUUCAGUAGAAAUUCAUCGACUGCGGUUAUGGAUUUUUAUCUUGUGUUAGGAAUAUUCUCCACAGUUGUUCAUCAGCUCUAUGUGACCCCGAAGGUGGCAAAAGGGCUCGUCCGGGAUUUGAACCCGGGACCUCUCGCACCCUAAGCGAGAAUCAUACCCCUAGACCAACGAGCCUCCAUACUGUGUUGUUCACAUCUGCAAUUCUGUGCAGCAAAGAGCUGUGUUUAAAUUGUUCCAACUGAUGAUGUGGCAAAUUGGGGCUCCACUUUUUGUCUAAUCAAACAGCACCCUCUGGUGGUGUUAUAUGUUUUUCCUGCAGUGUGCUACAUGCUACACUGAACUCUAAAAAGUUCCUCCCCACAGACAUCCUUAAAACACUCACAGAUCUAUACACUGAACCCACAUUGAAGUCUGUCAUAUUUUCAUGUGACCCAGGAAAGCAGGUCUUUACCUUGACUUGAAACUGUUUACCUUGGAGUUUGUCAAAGUUGUUGCUGCUGACAGCAAUUCUCUUGUCAGAUUUAGAGUCAAUUAUUUCCUGGCUUUCGUGAAUUUUGAGUGUACUGAUUGAACCCAGGGCCUCUUGCACCCAAAGCGAGAAUCAUACCCCUAGACCAACAAGCCACCUACAGGAUGCACCUCUGUGUCAACAACAUGUUCUUUCAGGGUUGACAGAACAUUUCAGAUUGUUGAUGUGGUAUUGCCUCACAUUCCAUCUCAUAAACUGGCACCCUGUCAGCAUGGUUCGUUCAUGUCAUGUGAGGUGUUUUGACACAACAAUCAGGUCUAAUUUAGUAGUGUACCAAACAAUACAAAAAAAGUGCAUUUACAGAUAAUAGUUUUUUUGUAGCAUUUAUUUUGUGCACUCUUUUUGAGACAGAAAACGUAAGAUCUACUCAAAUGAACUUAGGCAAUACUGAACAUAAAAUGUACAGUGCAAAAACAUCAGUUGCUGAAGAAACAGGGUCAAAGAAAAUAUGUGUAAUGUUUAUAGUGCGAAGGUUAACGUGCAAAACAAAGUGAGUGAGAUUUGUCAAGAAUGGAAUAUCGUAGGGUCUGUGAUUAAACUCUACUGGCCGUGAAUGUAGCUUCUUUUUUCCUCUUUAUUGUUUCUGCUCUGUUUGCAGUGUUUGCUUAAGUCUCAAAUACAGUGUGUCUGACAGGGUGUGAUGAAUAAGAUUCACUUGAAAUUAUUAUAAUAAAGAAAACUUCUUGUUGGCCACAAGUACACUUGACAUAAAGACCCAACCAAUUCAACAACUAAAUUCUUUCAUUUUUUCAUACACUGUUUUGUUUUCAUUGUUGUUGACUCAAUGUUUUUUAUGCAUUUUUUAUUGUUGUUAUAGAUAAACUAUAGGGAUGUCAGUGAGACGUUCAGAACAGAAGAAGCCAAAGUCCUCAUGAGAUCUAUUUGAAACACAGUCCUCUUAAAUGCAGAUUGAUUUGAGGUGAAACAGACGGCUUGUCCGGGAUUUCAACAUGGGGCCUCUCACACCGUGAGCGAUAAUCAUACCCCGAGACCAACAAGUCACACAUACAUCUGUUCACAUCUGUAAUUCUAUGCAGUGAAGUGCUGUAAUCGAUCUGUUGAAACGUGGCGACUUGGAGCUCCACACUUGGUGGUCAAAUGUCAGUACAGCUACAGGUGAUUUCUCGUUGGUAUCAUGUUGAAAUCCAUUUUGUUUUUUAUGUAAAUCGGAUUCUUCUGUACAAGCUCCUGUGAAUCUGACCAGCUAUGACAAGAAUUCUUUUUGUCACAGCACUGAUGGAAAACGCAGCAACUUAAGGUUUCACUUGAACUUAAUUCUGUUUAGAUUUCUGUGAGGUUAAAGAAGGGCUCGUCCGGGAUUUGAACCCAGGACCUCUCGCACCCUAAGCGAGAAUCAUACCCCUAGACCAACGAGCCACAUGUGCUGUUGUUCACAUCUGCAACUGUCUCUGCAAAGACCACUAAUUAAAGGGUUUAAAUGGUUAUGUGGCAGCUUGGAGCCGUACAUGUGUGGUCCAACAGCACCCUCUGGUGGAGCACUUCCUAGGUUAGGUUUACAGUUUUUUUUACAAUUGCUUAAACACAAUUUUGAAAACAGGGCUCGGAAUUUCAAAAGACUACACACAAUUAGCACAACCACACACACAGUAUGGAAAACACUUCAGAUCUUGUGCAAAAUGAAACACUAUUGUGAAAACUAUAUACACCUUUAUAAAAACCAUACUAUGUUACCAUAUGAAACACACACAUUUCAUCAGGCUUAGUUCUGUUUGAACCAGUUACACACUGCUGUGUUUAACUUAAAACACUUUUGGCAGUUCUACCUCUGGUAUCUCAAUCUCAAUUCUACCUUUGGCAAUUCUACCUCUGGACCUCUCAGUGAAUAGAUUACUGUAAGUGAAGUACACAGAGAAAGUGCAAAUAUACAACAUGGUAAAUUCAAACACAUCACAAGAUCAAUGCUGCAGACUUUUGAAAAUAUGAUUUAAUUUUCUUCAUAUAACCACAUUCAGUCAACAUAGACAAUCACAAGAAAACAUCCCAACACUGUAAACCCACAAAAUAGACAAAUAAAAAUACUGUACUACCAGUACAGGUUAAAAUAUGUAAAGAAAAUGAAGAAAACAAAAAGAAAUCUGAGUAAAAUAAAUUAAAUACUAAACAUCUCUCCGCCUAGCUGGAUCUGGCCAGAGAAUUUCAUCUACAUCACAGGCAAUAUCUUCGUUGGCAAGAGAACGUGGGAAGAACCGUCUUGAAUGACGGAUCCAUCCUUGCACAGCUGCAGCGUCAAUUUGGUCACAAGCCUCUUCCAUGGCCUGAAUGAGGGGCAUCUGAGUCUGGGGCCGGAGAUCAUAAACUUUCCACCGCCAUGCAGAGAAAAUUCUUCGAUGGGGUUUAGAAAUGGAGAGCAUGGUGGAAGGUAUAGGACUGUAAACAGUGGAUGGUGCUGAAACCAGUUCUGGACCAGAGCAGAGUGGUGGAAUGACACAUUGUCCCAGAUGACAAUGUAGUGGAUCUGGUGCAUUUGGUUAUUUACUGGGAGGAGGUUGUGCAAUCUGUCCAAAAAUCUGAUCAUUUGAUCUGUGUUGUAAGGGCCCAUAUUGGCAUGACGGUGGAGGACCCCAUUCAGGAAAAUGGCUGCGCAAAGGGUGAUGUUACCCCCACGUUUAUGGAAAUAAUUUCCUAUCAUAAUUCAAGAGCAUUAUAAAAUUGAUUUGAGGGCAGCAUUUAUCGAUUUCAUUCUCAGAUUUCGUGAUAUUGUCUCUCAGAACUCUGCUCUCGCGCUCAAAUUUGCUCUGCUUGUGCUCAAACUGUGUCCUCGCUCUCGGUUACGAUGCUGCUCGCGCAGAUUUCUUGCGCUCAAACUCAAACUCUUCCUCUUGCUCUCACAGAACUUCUGCUCACGGAUCUCUCUGCUCUGCUCUCGGAUUUUUGUGUUUCAACGCUGUCAACCAAUAGAAGGCCAGCGAGCUUUGACCAAUCACAUUAUCCCUGUUUGUAUACGGGUGCGUUCGCUGUUUUUCCGAGGAGCGUCGCAUAAGGGCGUGCACUCUUUCAACAGGUUUUAUCCACUCCCUACCUCCGGGGCUGUAAUAAAUGUGAUGUCUUUUAAUUU